GAUGAACGCUGGCGGCGUGCUUAACACAUGCAAGUCGAACGGAAAGGCCCAAGCUUGCUUGGGUACUCGAGUGGCGAACGGGUGAGUAACACGUGGGUGAUCUGCCCUGCACUUCGGGAUAAGCCUGGGAAACUGGGUCUAAUACCGGAUAGGACCACGUCUUGGAUGUUGUGGUGGAAAGUUUUUUCGGUGUGGGAUGAGCUCGCGGCCUAUCAGCUUGUUGGUGGGGUAAUGGCCUACCAAGGCGUCGACGGGUAGCCGGCCUGAGAGGGUGUACGGACACACUGGAACUGGGAUACGGCCCCGACUCCCACCGGAGGCAGCAGUGGCGAAUAUUGCACAAUGGGAGCAAGCCUGAUGCAGCGACGCCGCGUGGGGGGUGACGGCCUUCGGGUUGUAAGCGCCUUUCGCUAGGGACGAAGCGAUUUUGUGACGGUACCUGGAGAAGAAGCACCGGCUAACUACGUG
Molecule: ribosomal RNA, 468 nt
Filed under: uncultured bacterium
Lineage: Bacteria
Description: partial 16S ribosomal RNA
Rfam family: Bacterial small subunit ribosomal RNA
Source: RNAcentral